GGGGGUGACUGGCUUCGACGGAUGCCUGUCGGUCCCGGGAGAGCGAGCCGAGAAACGCUAGGUCAUCUCGUUAAUCCGUCCUGGCAAUCGUUUAGGUGCCGACGACAACCUGGCCCUGGCGGCCUAACUAGCCGCCUGUCCGCCUUCGCUUGCCUGGAGUGGGGGAUCGGGCAUCGCAUCCAGGCUUCACCGGUCGACUUCCCGCCGCGGGUCGAUCGGGACAACUCAGCGGUGUACGGGCGCCAAGCCGCGUGGUUCCGGAGUGCGGCGUCCCGACAAUGAGCCGGAACCUACGCUCGUAGCGCUCUCGAGGUCGAGACAUUCGGACGCGGGGUUCGAUUCCCCGCCACCUCCACUU
RNAcentral lists this transfer-messenger RNA (358 nucleotides) under Egibacteraceae. RNAcentral's name for it is "JACDBB01 sp013695145 Standard tmRNA". It matches the Rfam family "transfer-messenger RNA". Rfam says of the family: Bacterial tmRNA, also known as 10Sa RNA or SsrA, is named for its dual tRNA and mRNA-like properties. Its role is to liberate the mRNA from a stalled ribosome. RNAcentral also lists the same sequence under 2 other names. Lineage: Bacteria; Bacillati; Actinomycetota; Nitriliruptoria; Egibacterales. The record is from RNAcentral.